RNAcentral lists this ribosomal RNA (619 nucleotides) under Enterobacter ludwigii. RNAcentral's name for it is "bacterial SSU rRNA". It matches the Rfam family "Bacterial small subunit ribosomal RNA", at positions 90 to 705 of the family's 1533-position model. The record is from RNAcentral. Lineage: Bacteria; Pseudomonadati; Pseudomonadota; Gammaproteobacteria; Enterobacterales; Enterobacteriaceae.
GACGAGUGGCGGACGGGUGAGUAAUGUCUGGGAAACUGCCUGAUGGAGGGGGAUAACUACUGGAAACGGUAGCUAAUACCGCAUAACGUCGCAAGACCAAAGAGGGGGACCUUCGGGCCUCUUGCCAUCAGAUGUGCCCAGAUGGGAUUAGCUAGUAGGUGGGGUAACGGCUCACCUAGGCGACGAUCCCUAGCUGGUCUGAGAGGAUGACCAGCCACACUGGAACUGAGACACGGUCCAGACUCCUACGGGAGGCAGCAGUGGGGAAUAUUGCACAAUGGGCGCAAGCCUGAUGCAGCCAUGCCGCGUGUAUGAAGAAGGCCUUCGGGUUGUAAAGUACUUUCAGCGGGGAGGAAGGUGUUGCGGUUAAUAACCGCAGCAAUUGACGUUACCCGCAGAAGAAGCACCGGCUAACUCCGUGCCAGCAGCCGCGGUAAUACGGAGGGUGCAAGCGUUAAUCGGAAUUACUGGGCGUAAAGCGCACGCAGGCGGUCUGUCAAGUCGGAUGUGAAAUCCCCGGGCUCAACCUGGGAACUGCAUUCGAAACUGGCAGGCUAGAGUCUUGUAGAGGGGGGUAGAAUUCCAGGUGUAGCGGUGACAUGCGUACAUAUCUGGAGGA